RNAcentral lists this transfer RNA (72 nucleotides) under Ovis aries (sheep). It matches the Rfam family "tRNA". From Rfam's summary of the family: Transfer RNA (tRNA) molecules are approximately 80 nucleotides in length. Their secondary structure includes four short double-helical elements and three loops (D, anti-codon, and T loops). Lineage: Eukaryota; Metazoa; Chordata; Mammalia; Artiodactyla; Bovidae. The record is from Rfam by way of RNAcentral.
UCCCUGGUGGCUCAGUCGGUAAAGAAUCUGCCCACAAUGCAGGAGAUCCAGGUUUGAUUCCUGGGUUGGGAA